AGUGUGACCUGUUGUGGAAGACUAGUGAUUUUGUUGUUGUACAUUUGUGAUCUUGACAACAAGUCACAGUCUACCUCAGUGAGUCAUACA
This is a non-coding RNA of Xyrichtys novacula (pearly razorfish), 90 nucleotides long. Lineage: Eukaryota; Metazoa; Chordata; Actinopteri; Labriformes; Labridae. The record is from the annotation of a GenBank genome assembly.